RNAcentral lists this small RNA (29 nucleotides) under Bombyx mori (domestic silkworm). RNAcentral describes it as "ovarian small RNA-37873". Lineage: Eukaryota; Metazoa; Arthropoda; Insecta; Lepidoptera; Bombycidae. The record is from RNAcentral.
UUGCGGGAGCUCCUCUUCGCCGCGGGCGC